ACGAACGCUGGCGGCGUGCUUAACCCAUGCCAGUCGAGCGGUAAGGCUCCUUCGGGAGUACACGAGCGGCGAACGGGUGAGUAACACGUGAGUAAUCUGCCCUUCACUUCGGGAUAACCACCGGAAACGGUGGCUAAUACCGAAUACGACCAGUCUUCGCAUGAGGUGCUGGUGGAAAGUCUUUUCGGUGAAGGAUGUGCUCGCGGCCUAUCAGCUUGUUGGUGGGGUAAUGGCCUACCAAGGCUUCGACGGGUAGCCGGCCUGAGAGGGUGACCGGCCACACUGGGACUGAGACACGGCCCAGACUCCUACGGGAGGCAGCAGUGGGGAAUAUUGGACAAUGGGCGAAAGCCUGAUCCAGCAACGCCGCGUGAGGGAUGACGGCCUUCGGGUUGUAAACCUCUUUCAGUACCGACGAAGCGCCCUGUCGGGUGGUGACGGUAGGUACAGAAGAAGGACCGGCCAACUACGUG
RNAcentral lists this ribosomal RNA (473 nucleotides) under uncultured bacterium. RNAcentral describes it as "partial 16S ribosomal RNA". It matches the Rfam family "Bacterial small subunit ribosomal RNA", at positions 29 to 507 of the family's 1533-position model. The record is from RNAcentral.